This is a non-coding RNA of Odocoileus virginianus texanus, 237 nucleotides long. The record is from RefSeq and is a predicted model, not a curated record. Lineage: Eukaryota; Metazoa; Chordata; Mammalia; Artiodactyla; Cervidae.
UUUCCAGACUUAUGUUUAAAAGCAAGUGCAAAUCUAUGGAAUCUUAUCCAUGCUAUCAAGAUGAAGAAACUAAGAUUGCUUUUGCUGACUAUACUGUGACUUACACAGACCAGCCUCCAAAUACUUGGUUUAUAGUUUUCAGAGAAACAUUUUUGGUUCCUCAAGAUAUGAUUUUGGUUCCCAAAGUAUAUACUACACUUCCAGUCUGUAUGCUCCACAUUGUUAACAACGACACAA